CCUACGGGGGGCUGCAGUGAGGAAUAUUGGUCAAUGGGCUUACGCCUGAACCAGCCAAGUCGCGUGAGGGAAGACUGCCCUAUGGGUUGUAAACCUCUUUUAUAAGGGAAUAAAGUGUGGGACGUGUCCUAUUUUGUAUGUACCUUAUGAAUAAGGAUCGGCUAACUCCGUGCCAGCAGCCGCGGUAAUACGGAGGAUCCGAGCGUUAUCCGGAUUUAUUGGGUUUAAAGGGUGCGUAGGCGGCCUUUUAAGUCAGCGGUGAAAGUCUGUGGCUCAACCAUAGAAUUGCCGUUGAAACUGGGGGGCUUGAGUAUGUUUGAGGCAGGCGGAAUGCGUGGUGUAGCGGUGAAAUGCUUAGAUAUCACGCAGAACCCCGAUUGCGAAGGCAGCCUGCCAAGCCAUGACUGACGCUGAUGCACUAAAGCGUGGGGAUCAAACAGGAUUAGAUACCCUAGUAGUC
This 460-nucleotide ribosomal RNA is filed under the name uncultured bacterium. Its description in RNAcentral is "partial 16S ribosomal RNA". It matches the Rfam family "Bacterial small subunit ribosomal RNA", at positions 338 to 795 of the family's 1533-position model. The record is from RNAcentral.